GACAGAGGGUGCAAACGUUGUUCGGAAUUACUGGGCGUAAAGCGAGUGUAGGCGGUUCUCAAAGUCGGAUGUGAAAGCCCCGGGCUCAACCCGGGAAGUGCACCCGAUACUGGAGAGCUAGAGUGUCGGAGAGGUUGGUGGAAUUCUCGGUGUAGAGGUGAAAUUCGUAGAUAUCGAGAGGAACACCGGUGGCGAAGGCGGCCAACUGGACGAACACUGACGC
This 223-nucleotide ribosomal RNA is filed under the name uncultured bacterium. RNAcentral describes it as "partial 16S ribosomal RNA". It matches the Rfam family "Bacterial small subunit ribosomal RNA", at positions 524 to 746 of the family's 1533-position model. The record is from RNAcentral.